GGGGACCGAGUUGUUGCAGUAAGGUGAAGAAAACUAUACAGAAAAUGUCAGAGAAUCAACAACACAUAGAUCCAGAUGUGAUCGCUGCUAAAGAUACAGAGGAAGAACUUAUCAAACAAUGCGAAGAAAUGUGGAAAGACGUGGAAGAAUGUCAGAAUAAAUUAUCACUUAUUGGACCCGAGACACUCACUAACUCAAAUGCUCAGCUCUCAUUACUUAUUAUGCAAGUGAAAUGUUUGACUGCUGAACUUGGUCAAUGGAACAAAAGAAAACCCGAAAUUCCCCUCACUGAAGGCGUUUUGUUAACAUUAGGAAAAGAAGAGUUCCAAAAGUUGAGAUAUGAUCUUGAAAUGGUACGGUCUAUCGUUCAAUCAGAGAAUGAAAAGUUAAAAGAAGACUUAGCAAGGGAGCAACAGUGGUUGGAUGAACAGCAGCAAAUACUGGAAACUCUUAAUGUAUUACACAGUGACUUGAAAAAUCGGGUUGUAACAUUUACUGAAUCAAGAAUUUUUAAUGAACUGAAAGCCAAGAUCCUUAGUAUAAAAGAAUUUAAAGAGAAGCUCCUACUUGCCUUGGGUGAUUUUUUAGAAGAUCAUUUUCCACUGCCUGAUGGAAAUACUCAAAAGAAAAGGAAAAAUAUUCAAGAAUUGAAUACACAGCUGAUAACACUGAAUGAAAUGUUAGAGAUGCUUAUAAAUAGAAUGUUCGAUGUUCCACAUGAUCCAUAUGUUAAAAUUAAUGAAUCCUUUUGGCCACCAUAUAUUGAACUGCUUCUGCGUUAUGGAAUUGCUUUGAGACAUCCAGAAGAUCCAUCCCGAAUAAGAUUAGAAGCCUUCCAUCAGUAAAAUGAUGGUCUGUCUUCACACAGUAUGGAAUCUUUACACUCUCGGAUAAACAAAUCACAAGACUUUAAAUAAAGAAUAUUAUUUGCAAAUCAA
Molecule: long non-coding RNA, 938 nt
Filed under: Rattus norvegicus (Norway rat)
Lineage: Eukaryota; Metazoa; Chordata; Mammalia; Rodentia; Muridae
Description: long non-coding RNA NONRATT014982
Source: RNAcentral